This is a long non-coding RNA of Melanotaenia boesemani (Boeseman's rainbowfish), 736 nucleotides long. RefSeq lists it as uncharacterized. The record is from RefSeq and is a predicted model, not a curated record. NCBI's taxonomy places the organism in Eukaryota, Metazoa, Chordata, Actinopteri, Atheriniformes, Melanotaeniidae. The transcript has 4 exons.
AUUGUGUUUACCAAUACAUUUUCCCCAUUUGCUUUGAAAUAUUAUAGAUCGGACCAAAAAUUCUGAGAAUACAUAGCACGUGAUCGGUCCUGAUUUCUGAUCACAUGAUUGGAUUGGGACAUCCCUACCAGAGAAUAGGAUGACUGACUAUAGAUAAAUUACAUUUUGUGUGUAAGAAGUUUUGGUAAAUGGUUAUUUGUGAGCUGAGCUUUUAUUAGCCUUGGACAGAGCUAGGCUGACUGUGUUUCUCCUGUUUCCCCAUAUAUGUGUGAGAGCUGCUUGUAUUGAUGUCAUUCCUGUGAAAAAAGGAGACUGGCCUGGACAAAUUUAGAAGAAAAGUGGCACAUUGUUGGCUUUGCCUGCAGUGCUAAGUGGCUUGUGGAUCACAAGGAAGACAUAUCCUGUUGUAAUUGUGCCAACCUGAACACUGACGGUACCUGCUGUAGAAUGAGUCACCUGGCUAAGGAUACAGACAUUCCUCGAUGCUUCACCUUGCGUAGCCAAAAUGGACAAUCAGAGGUAUUUCAGGAGGCCCCAGCAUCAAGCAAGUAAACAGGCAGUUUGAAAUGAUCAGACAACAGUUUCUCUCGCACAGUAUGUAUUGCCCACAAUGAAUGUAUCCUACAAUGUUCUUUUAUGUUUGUUUAAUUUGCAAGAAAUAAUUACAAAGUUUAAUGGCCACAAUUUAAGUUCAAAUAUUGUUGAUUGUCUUCAUAAGUUGCUCCUGUGCUUCAUA